Molecule: long non-coding RNA, 1063 nt
Filed under: Sinocyclocheilus grahami
Lineage: Eukaryota; Metazoa; Chordata; Actinopteri; Cypriniformes; Cyprinidae
Description: lncRNA (ENSSGRG00000010309.1)
Source: RNAcentral
GUCCAUCUAUGAAUACUUUAAGUGGAUGUUGGGAACAACAGAUGACAUUGGUGCUUUGGAAAACCCAGAGUUGUUUAGUUUAUGCUCUGUACCCCUGUAUGCCUUCAUAGUAGCUGCCUGCAUUUCAGUAAGUCCUACUGAAGCCAGGAGUAAGCCAUUUACGGUUACGGAGAUGUAUUUCCGAAUUUUUCGCUUUUGCAUGAAACAACACGGACAUCAAGAUGUGGAGCACUUAGAUAAGUACAUUAAAGACAACAAGAGGGACGUCGUAAACUUAGCUCUAGCCUCCUAUCAAGCAAUGCUAGCAAAGACAGUGAACCUGACAGACUUGGAUCAUGAAGAUAAGUCUGUGCAAAAUGCUUUCUUAACAAAGCAAUUCUGGAACCCAUCCACAACUUCUUGCAAAGUGUAUGCAUUCCUGCAUAAUACAAUGCAAGAGUUUUGGGCAGCUCUCUAUAUAAUUUUAAAUCCUGACAAGAUCACCAGUGUACUGGAUCAAUGCCAAAGCGAUGAAGAUGGAAAAUACCUUAAAUAUAUCAUGCCAUUUUUGUCUGGACUUCUCGCGGAUAAUCUAUUUGAGCUCAUAAAGUGUUUGGUGCCAGUAGAACAGAUAGAAGCCACACGCGUUAAGUACUUUCAACAGAUUAUAGAUACUUUCCUUUACACCAAAGAGCAGAAUCAAGAAGGCGAUUGUGAGCAGUUUGUGGAAGCUGACAACAUCCUGUUUGUGUGUCGAUGCCUUUAUGAGUAUCAGUCUGCUGAUGCAUGCCGAAUCUUCCUGGAAAAGGUUCAGUAUGAGCUUGAUUUAGAGGAUCAAACACUUGAUCCUUACCAGUGCUGUGUAAUCUCCUAUGUGGUCAAUCAAGCUGUGCAUCAGAAUAUUAAACUGGAUCUCACAGAUUGUAGCAUGACUAACCCUGGCUUGAAACUACUUCUAAGCUCAUUGAAAAAUCUGAAAUUUCUCAGGUACAAGAAGUUUAGAACAGCCACUUUCUUUCAUCAGUGUCUAGCAAUUACAAAAAUGAUAUGAUGUAUAACAUUUUUAUUCUUCACAUUUUUUAUU